AUAUUGUUUGCUGAAUGAAGGCUGUUUCUUGAGAAGGAGUGUUCUGCAGCCAGAGAUCUAAUCACCAAUUUGGAUGAAGAUACCCUGUUGGACAAAACCUUCGAUCAGUUUGAUGCUUGGAAUCUGACACAUACAGUGACAGUGCAGCAUUAAAGAGAAUUCAUCAAGUUAAAACAGGUGGAUACUCCCAUUUUGAAGACUAAGAUGGAAAUGAGGCUGUUGAAGCUAAGUGGAUGAAGGGGUUUACCCGCUUGCCUGUAUGGUGGACAGUUCCUGAUGGUUUCAAG
Molecule: long non-coding RNA, 287 nt
Organism: Lagopus muta (rock ptarmigan)
Lineage: Eukaryota; Metazoa; Chordata; Aves; Galliformes; Phasianidae
Exons: 3
Source: RefSeq, a predicted model, not a curated record